RNAcentral lists this long non-coding RNA (1454 nucleotides) under Marmota monax (woodchuck). The record is from RNAcentral. Lineage: Eukaryota; Metazoa; Chordata; Mammalia; Rodentia; Sciuridae.
CAAUGCCUCAUGCAUGCUAGGCAAGCGCUCUGCCACUGAGCUACAGCCCCAGCCUCCUACCUCUACUUUUUUUAUCAGCUUCAAGGUUCCUGCUGGUUAUAUCCUGCCUGCUAUCAUGACUCAUCUAAUUAUUCUCUAUCUUAGGAAUAAUUUAUGAGUAUGUUCUUUUUGUUUUGUAUUGUGUGCAUUAUAAUUAUACACAAUAGUGGGAUUCAUUGUGACAUAUUUGUACAUGCAUAUAACAUAAUUGGGUCAAUUUCAUUCCUCAGUACCUCAUCCUUUUCUCCCCUCCUCCCUAUCUGACCCCCUUCCUUUACCAGUCUCUAUUCUAUUUUCAUGAAAUUUCCUUACAUAGUAAUUUCUUAAUAUUUUGUGGAUAAAAAUGAAUACCCAGACUGGGACUGGCUCUUUUGUGGGGAGAGGAAGGUUUAUUUCUUCUCAACCACUAAGGUACAGGAGGGCUGGGACCACAUCUUGGCCCCAGGGUCUAGGACAGUUUUUGGGUUUUUCUCAUUUGUUUAUUUUGUUUUUUGCUGGGUUUUGUUUGUGGUUGGUUUUGGUGUGUGUAUAUGUAUGUGUUACUUGGGAUCAAACCCUCCCCUCAAACAUGCUAGGCAAGUGUUCUAUCACUGAGCUACAACGAAUAUAUCUUCCUGGACCUCGUGUGACUCAAUUACAUCCCCAAAUAGUGUAACUUGGAAAAGAUUUUCCAGCUAAGAGAUUGAAUGACCAGCCGUUUGGUACAGAGCAAACAAAACAAAACACCUCCCUUCCUGAAUGACACCUAGGCUUGUUCUGGUCUCCCCUAGGAGACCCUGAAUGUGAGAAGUUCUCAAGUAGCCUAGAAUGGGACCUCAACCUGAUGGUGGCUGUCCUGUUGUUGGGAGGAGGGGGCCAAUCUCCCCCAAAACCUCCUACAAUCUGCCCUACCCACCUCUUUCAGGUGCCUUAAAAAUCCUUGGAGGCAUCCUUGAUUCCCCUUUACCUUACCCCACAUACUCAGUCUGUCCGGGCAGCCUGGAUGCACUCCAUCAAUAUCACUGUCAUCCAAGCCAUCUUACCAGUAUCCUGGACUAUUAUGGUAGUAUCUUUCAUGAAAUAACCUAAGCCAUUUCAUGCACAAUGGGGUUUCCUUGCUGCAGAUCUCAGUAACCUACAGUAAAAGUGAUAGAUAAGGACAAUAGCUUCUUUCCUCAGACUUUGCAAAGAGUGGGCCUGACACACUUCAAGCAAAUCUCAGACUGAAUUCUGUACCCUUUACCAUCACUUAUUACCAAGCAGGCUCCCAACAAUCAGAUAACCUGUUCUGUGAACUCAAGGAAGGCCUGGCUCCAUGUCCUUUUGGGUGACCAAUGGAAAAAUAAUUCAAGUCAUGAAUCCCAAAAAACUAAAGGCUGAAUAUUUUCUCUGAUUAGUGGAUGCUGAUCUAUGAUGGGGGCUGGGGCAUGGGAAGA